GGGUCAGUAGGUUGGUCGUGCCACCGGUACGUACUGGUCUCACUGAUUCCUCCUUCCUGAAGAACCGUAAUGCCAUUAAUUUGGUGUUGCGGGGAAACAGGACUGUUACUUUGAAAAAAUUAGAGUGUUUAGAGCAAGCUAACGCUUGAAUACAUUAGCAUGUAAUAAUGAAAUAGGACGAUCGAUCCUAUUUUGUUGGUUUCUAGGAUUGACGUA
RNAcentral lists this ribosomal RNA (216 nucleotides) under Glomeromycotina sp. RNAcentral describes it as "partial small subunit ribosomal RNA". The stretch from base 40 to 216 matches the Rfam family "Eukaryotic small subunit ribosomal RNA", at positions 686 to 864 of the family's 1831-position model. The record is from RNAcentral. Lineage: Eukaryota; Fungi; Glomeromycota.